RNAcentral lists this long non-coding RNA (431 nucleotides) under Manihot esculenta (cassava). RNAcentral's name for it is "long non-coding RNA (MESC_LNC004816)". The record is from RNAcentral. Lineage: Eukaryota; Viridiplantae; Streptophyta; Magnoliopsida; Malpighiales; Euphorbiaceae.
UCUCAGUGAGAUCUUUUGGUGCCAGGAGAUCUUGGGGAUCCUGGUCUUCUACCUCCCUGAGAUCUCUAUAUCUCAGUGAGGUCUUCUAUCUCUCUGAGAUCUCUAUAUCUCAGUGAGGUCUUCUAUCUCUCUGAGAUCUCUAUAUCUCAGUGAGAUCUUUUGGUACCAGGAGAUCUUGGGGAUCCUGGUCUUCUACCUCCCUGAGAUCUCUACAUCUCAGUGAGGUCUUCUAUCUCUCUGAGAUCUCUAUAUCUCAGUGAGAUCUUCUACCUUUCUGAGAUCUUUAUAUCUCAGAAAGGUCUUCUGAGCUUUGUUCUUUGGUUUCUGCAGAGAAUCAUUAAUAAUAAAGAUAAUCUCGUUUUGGAAUGAAUGAUGUUAUUUUAUCCAUUCAUGUUUUUCAAAGUACAAUGCUUUUCUUUACAAAUAUUUCA